RNAcentral lists this long non-coding RNA (210 nucleotides) under Gallus gallus (chicken). The record is from RNAcentral. Lineage: Eukaryota; Metazoa; Chordata; Aves; Galliformes; Phasianidae.
CUCAUUGUUAGUCUUAAUUUCGUCAUUCAAAGGGAAACUGCAAGCCUGGCCCUUCAUUUCAAUACAAUUGUAUUGUGUUAUGGGGGUUAAAGUAGCUCAUGCACUGAGAACAAUGUAACAACCCAUCCAACCUACAAAUUUUGUAACCGACCCUCUUGUAACUCAGACAAACGACAACUGGGUCCUUAGUGAGGGGUGGGAAUCCUUGCG